UUGCUUUGAGGGUCAAUAUUCGAAGGCUUCAUUUUUCCCUUUUGCACGCAUCGAGCUAGGGCAGAGCAAAGAGAGAAAUCACCCAAAAGCUAGGGCUUGCUCGAGAAAAGAAGCGAGAGAGCGAAGCAAGUUGAAAAGCUGGAGCGCAUCGCCUGCCCGGAGAAGAUGACCGGAGCUGACCGGUGAGAAAGAAGAGCUGACCGGAUCUGCCACGUGCAGAGGAUCAGAUGACUGGAGAUGGAGCUCGCGAGGAAAGAACGGUGACCGUCCGAUGGCCGUGGUGAUCGCGAUUGCGCCUCUUUCGGUACUCUUCGUUUCUCAUUAAUAAAGUUUCUUUUAUAUUGA
This is a non-coding RNA of Vigna umbellata (rice bean), 345 nucleotides long. Lineage: Eukaryota; Viridiplantae; Streptophyta; Magnoliopsida; Fabales; Fabaceae. The record is from RefSeq and is a predicted model, not a curated record.